This 393-nucleotide ribosomal RNA is filed under the name uncultured Ehrlichia sp. RNAcentral's name for it is "bacterial SSU rRNA". It matches the Rfam family "Bacterial small subunit ribosomal RNA", at positions 62 to 485 of the family's 1533-position model. The record is from RNAcentral. Lineage: Bacteria; Pseudomonadati; Pseudomonadota; Alphaproteobacteria; Rickettsiales; Anaplasmataceae.
UCAAUUAUUUAAUAGCCUCUGGCUAUAGGAAAUUGUUAGUGGCAGACGGGUGAGUAAUGCGUAGGAAUCUACCUAGUAGUACGGAAUAGCCAUUAGAAAUGGUGGGUAAUACUGUAUAAUCCCCGAGGGGGAAAGAUUUAUCGCUAUUAGAUGAGCCUACGUUAGAUUAGCUAGUUGGUGAGGUAAUGGCUUACCAAGGCUAUGAUCUAUAGCUGGUCUGAGAGGACGAUCAGCCACACUGGAACUGAGAUACGGUCCAGACUCCUACGGGAGGCAGCAGUGGGGAAUAUUGGACAAUGGGCGAAAGCCUGGUCCAGCUAUGCCGCGUGAGUGAAGAAGGCCUUCGGGUUGUAAAACUCUUUCAAUAGGGAAGAUAAUGACGGUACCUAUAAU